GCCCUGUAGCUCAGCGGUAGAGCAGCGAACUCGUAAUUCGCAGGUCGCUGGUUCGACUCCAGCCUUGGCUCCA
RNAcentral lists this transfer RNA (73 nucleotides) under Cellvibrio sp. 79. Its description in RNAcentral is "tRNA-Thr". It matches the Rfam family "tRNA". Rfam says of the family: Transfer RNA (tRNA) molecules are approximately 80 nucleotides in length. The record is from RNAcentral. Lineage: Bacteria; Pseudomonadati; Pseudomonadota; Gammaproteobacteria; Cellvibrionales; Cellvibrionaceae.